ACCACGAAGCAGUAGACCUGACCGCAAGGAGGGCGCCUACCACGGUGUGGUCAAUGACUGGGGUG
This 65-nucleotide ribosomal RNA is filed under the name uncultured bacterium. RNAcentral's name for it is "partial 16S ribosomal RNA". The record is from RNAcentral.